CAACCCUUCAGCACAACCCUUCAAGCCACACACAGAGUUUUGUAGCCUCCACGGGUUACCAGGACUCCCUGGGACCCAUCAGCCUGGAGCAGAGACUCUUGUCCGCGGCUGGAAGUGCUGGCCGGUGAUUAGCAAAGUCCUGCCUGGGGUUUGCAGCAAGGCCCCAUGUGUGAACCCACAUUUCAGGCAGAGCCCUUUGCCCAGGGCUGACAUGGGACUGCGGGUGCUGAACACAGAGGAGCCUCCACCAACGUGCCCUGACUGCCGGGUCAGGACCACAGGGAUGAGCCAUGGAAUGUGAACGUGUGACCCUCGGGAGGGCAGGAGACCAUGGAGAGCACUGUGGCUGCAGGAGGAGAACCUCUCCCACACCCAAACACACUUUACACUCGGGGGUUUGCCUUACAUGUGCUCCAGCUCUGCAGCCACUCGGAGCAGGAGCAGGGCAUGGCAGGAGCUCACACAGUGCUGGGCACACGGCAUACUGGGAAUGGCUUGUGGCUUCCAUGGGUAUCCAGGGAAGAGGGGGGGGUGAGACACAGCCCCCAUGCCUGACUUUCAACCACAGAGCCCAAAUCAAAGAACUCUGCAGAAUUGCUCUUUCCCUUCAAUUAAAAAGCUCUGCCAGGCCAUCCUCAGUGUAUUUUAUUUCCAUGAUCAUGUACUGGACUCUUUGUCCAGCUGAAAGUUUCCCAUGGGAGUCUCUCACCCUUCCCAAGAGGUGUUUUGCUUCUGCUCAGAGGUGGGAGGCCUUGGAGCCCCUUCCAAUUCCUAAAAGGGCUCCGAGAGCUGGAAAGGGACUUUGGACAAGGGCCUGGAGGGACAGGACAAGGGAGAAUGGCUUCAAACUGACAGAGGGCAGAGUUAGACGGAAUACUGGGGAGAAAUUGUUCCCUGGGAGGGUGGUGAGGCCCCGGCACAGGUUGCCCAGAGCAGCUGCAGCUGCCCCAGCCCUGGGAGUGCCCAAGGGCAGGCGGAGCCGCUCGGGAGCUCAUGGCGGCCUGAGGGGGACGC
This 1014-nucleotide long non-coding RNA is filed under the name Lepidothrix coronata (blue-crowned manakin). Its description in RNAcentral is "lncRNA (ENSLCOG00000001367.1)". Lineage: Eukaryota; Metazoa; Chordata; Aves; Passeriformes; Pipridae. The record is from RNAcentral.